Molecule: long non-coding RNA, 221 nt
Organism: Telopea speciosissima
Lineage: Eukaryota; Viridiplantae; Streptophyta; Magnoliopsida; Proteales; Proteaceae
Exons: 2
Source: RefSeq, a predicted model, not a curated record
UGAUAUAUUAAUCCAAUUUUUUUUUAUUAUAUUUAUACUUUAUAGUUCUUUGGUGGGAUACACAUGGAGGUGAUGCUUUUGAGCUUUCAAGGAUUGCACGGCGUUUACUGGGCCUUUGUUGUACCUCUUCUGGUUGUGAGCGCAACUGGAGCACAUUUGAUUUUAUUCACACCAAGAAGAGGAAUAGACUAGAACAUGAACGUUUGAAUGAUCUAGUCUAU